UACGGGGGGGGCAAGCGUUGUUCGGAAUUACUGGGCGUAAAGGGCUCGUAGGCGGCCAACUAAGUCAGACGUGAAAUCCCCAGGCUUAACCUGGGAACUGCGUCUGAUACUGGAUGGCUUGAAUUCGGGAGAGGGAUGCAGAAUUCCAGGUGUAGCGGUGAAAUGCGUAGAUAUCGUAAGGAAGACCAGUGGCGAAGGCGGGUCUCUGGACAGUUCCUGACGCUGAGGCACGAAGGUCAGGGGAGCAAACGGG
RNAcentral lists this ribosomal RNA (253 nucleotides) under uncultured bacterium. RNAcentral's name for it is "partial 16S ribosomal RNA". It matches the Rfam family "Bacterial small subunit ribosomal RNA", at positions 524 to 776 of the family's 1533-position model. The record is from RNAcentral.